Molecule: ribosomal RNA, 460 nt
Filed under: uncultured bacterium
Lineage: Bacteria
Description: partial 16S ribosomal RNA
Rfam family: Bacterial small subunit ribosomal RNA
Source: RNAcentral
CCUACGGGAGGCUGCAGUGAGGAAUAUUGGUCAAUGGACGAGAGUCUGAACCAGCCAAGUAGCGUGAAGGAUGACUGCCCUAUGGGUUGUAAACUUCUUUUAUAUGGGAAUAAAACGUUCCACGUGUGGGAUUUUGUAUGUACCAUAUGAAUAAGGAUCGGCUAACUCCGUGCCAGCAGCCGCGGUAAUACGGAGGAUCCGAGCGUUAUCCGGAUUUAUUGGGUUUAAAGGGAGCGUAGGUGGAUUGUUAAGUCAGUUGUGAAAGUUUGCGGCUCAACCGUAAAAUUGCAGUUGAAACUGGCAGUCUUGAGUACAGUAGAGGUGGGCUGAAUUCGUGGUGUAGCGGUGAAAUGCUUAGAUAUCACGAAGAACUCCGAUUGCGAAGGCAGUUCACUGGACUGCAACUGACACUGAGGCUCGAAAGUGUGGGUAUCAAACAGGAUUAGAUACCCCAGUAGUC